RNAcentral lists this long non-coding RNA (545 nucleotides) under Macaca fascicularis (crab-eating macaque). Its description in RNAcentral is "lncRNA (ENSMFAG00000062622.1)". The record is from RNAcentral. Lineage: Eukaryota; Metazoa; Chordata; Mammalia; Primates; Cercopithecidae.
AUGUUUUGUUUGGCAAGAACCAUUUCUUUGAACAAUUUCUUAUUAAUCAUCUAUAAUUUUUCACUUCUGACAGUGUUAUCACCAGUGCUUUCAGUAACUGCAUAUUUAUACAACAGCCAAACUUCAACCUGUAUUCAGUUUUUAUCUGUCUCCUGGGAAUGUAAUUUGGAAAAAAAGUUACCAAUGUAUUUACAACCAAAUUUCAGAUCUUCAACAUUACAGAAGAGUAAGAGAUUGCAGAUUGCUUCUGUGGACUUAUUGAAGGUGGAUCUGGCUGUUGGUGGAGAUCCCUAGACUGCAUGAGGCCAUGGGCAUGAUCUGGAGACACAGCAGGUGAGUCCAACAUGUCAAGGGCAGAUGACAAUGAACAGAAAAAGCUGGUCUUGCUACUUUCUCAGUAACAGUGACUAGCAGUGUGUAUGAGGAGAUCAAAAUUCUAAAGGUUCCCACAAAUUUCUCAGUUUCCUAUUUAGGGCUUCAGGUCUUUGCAGAUAAUCUUCCAGAUAUGGUCUUUGUCUGUUUUCCUUAUUUUUCUGUAAACUGGU